Molecule: long non-coding RNA, 2061 nt
Organism: Symphalangus syndactylus (siamang)
Lineage: Eukaryota; Metazoa; Chordata; Mammalia; Primates; Hylobatidae
Source: RefSeq, a predicted model, not a curated record
AUUUUAUUCUAUAGGAAGUCAUAGAGGACACAUAAUUUACCAAUGCUUUCAGGAAGGCUCUGGUGAGACGAAUCAAGAAGAUCAUCCUAAUAUCAGUGAUGGAUCCCCUCCAAAGACCAGGAAUGAUGGUAUAAAAGGUAUUAACACAGCCUGCCUCAUCAAUAAUGAAGUAUGGCCCUUGCAGGAAUCAGAAGCAUCCUGGAGAUUGACCAUAGAUAGAAUACCACAAGCUCAACCAACUGGUGAUCCUGACUACAGCUGUGAUGCCAGAUGAGGUGCAAGACCAAUCCUCCUGCUUGGAGAACUGAUCCAACUCCACACCUGUAUCUUCAGGCUGGACUCUCUUCUUCAACCCAUGUAUAUGUCCGGUAUUCCCUCAUCAUUGACAAAUACCUUCCUUUGACUUACUGAUUCUCUGACUACCACCUUUUCAAUGAAGGUAUUUUUUCAGUCAACCAUUUUAACAAAUUCAUCUUUGCUUGGUCUCCACUUCCUCUCCUUGAAGUUGCUCUUCACAUCACUAUAAACCAGCUUUUGAUCUCAUUGCUUCUUACAGAGUUAGUAAAAAAAAUGGCUAGAAUAAUAGUUGCAGCUGUUGUAUAUAGUGGUAAACAAUAAAAACUACCAUCAUUUAUUGAGUAUCUACUAUGUGUUCGACAUAGGAAUAAGUACUUCACAUAUCUGUGGAUCUAAGUAUCAAUAAAUAUCUACUACAGCUCAGGCAUUAUGCCAGGUGCUGGGAAUCAAAUGGUAAACAGGUUACACUUGGUUUCUGUCACCACAGAACUCACAGUCUAUUAGAGGAAAGAGACAAGUAAGCAAGCAAUUAAAAAGCUGCUUCAUAAAUGUCACAAUUGGGCAAAUACUGGGCACUGCAGGUCUACACAGCAAGGGCUAUAAAUCCAGAUUUGAAAAUACUUCCUAGAAGCAACAAUCCCAAAGCACAGGGCUAUGGGGUAAAGCAGAGGAAGGAAAGGGGGGUUCCAGGGUGGGAGCUGAGAGGAGCCCCGCACAGGUGAAGAACAAAGCUCAGCAAGACAGGAGGGGCAUGUGCUGGUGGGGAAUGGAGAGAAGUGCACUGGAGACUGAGCGAGGAGGUGCUAAAGCUCGGGCUGAGGAACUGAACUUCACCUAAGGGUGAUGACAAAGCCAAGAUCAUCUUGAGCAGAAACUAGCAUGGUCAAGAUUUGCCUUUAGAAAUUUCUCUCUGGCUAGAAAGUGAGAAUGGACUGGGGAGGAAAGGGUGGAUGGUGGGGGAGCACAUCUCUGUUUCUCAGCUCUAUCAACACAGAGAUUUCACAAACAUUGGGUAACACAGGAGACUGUUACACCAACAGAGUGUAAGAAUCAGAACACUGAGGACAGAGAGAAAGGAAUGGAUUAGAGUGAAAUUUAGAAGCAGACAUGAUAAUAGUUGGUAACUGAUCAGAUGUGGGACACAACAGAAAAAGGACAGAUAAAGAAAAUACCCAAAUUUCUGGCACAGGCCACUAGGCUUGAGAGAACACCACAGGAGAAAUGGUGUGAAGAUAAUAAGUUUUACGCAUCUAUCACCAUUGGUCUCCUCCAUACUACCAUGCAUUCUUUGCAUGGCAUUCCAAGCCAUUUGUGGUCUGACAUGUCUUUUUCAUCCUUGUCUCUUGCCACUACGCCCCUCACAUUUUGUAUUGGGGGAGAAAAAAAAUCCACAGUUCCAAGACAAAGAUCUUUCACAUCAGAGUGGCCUGUUACUUGCAUGCCGUGAAUGUCAUUCCCUCCCUAUGAGUACUUGAGAUUCUCCCACUCAUAUCUAAUCUUGAGCACAUCAUUUACAACAUUUUUACUGAGAUCCACCCCUGCUCAGUUAUGCCUCCCUCCUCUGGGCAACCUCCCUACUGGGCUUUGUUACAUCAGUGAGAUACACUGUAAUUAAAUCCCUUUGGCUCUCCAUCUGCACUACCAGGCCUUCUUGGCAGCAUACUGCUUUAAAUGUCUCUGCAUCCCAAGCCAUUUAUUAAUCUACACAGUAAUCCUCUCCUAACCAUCAGUCAGGUACUAUGCUAGAUUUGGCAGCACAAAACC